RNAcentral lists this transfer RNA (69 nucleotides) under Klebsiella pneumoniae. RNAcentral's name for it is "tRNA-His". The record is from RNAcentral. Lineage: Bacteria; Pseudomonadati; Pseudomonadota; Gammaproteobacteria; Enterobacterales; Enterobacteriaceae.
UGGGGUAUCGCCAAGCGGUAAGGCACCGGAUUAUGAUUCCGGCAUUCCGAGCUCCGCCUGCGCCAUCCA